Molecule: ribosomal RNA, 119 nt
Filed under: Oryza punctata
Lineage: Eukaryota; Viridiplantae; Streptophyta; Magnoliopsida; Poales; Poaceae
Source: RNAcentral
GGUUGCGAUCAUACCAGCACUAAAGCAUCGGAUCCCACCAGAACUCCGAAGUUAAGCGUGCUUGGGCGAGUGUAUUUCUAGGAUAGGUGACCUCCUGGAAAGUCCUCGUGUUGCAUCCC